Molecule: ribosomal RNA, 253 nt
Filed under: uncultured bacterium
Lineage: Bacteria
Description: partial 16S ribosomal RNA
Rfam family: Bacterial small subunit ribosomal RNA
Source: RNAcentral
UACGUAGGGGGCAAGCGUUGUCCGGAUUUACUGGGCGUAAAGAGCGCGUAGGUGGAAGCGCCAGUCCGGCCUGAAAGCCCCCGGCUCAACCGGGGAGAGUGGCUGGAAACUGCGUUUCUUGAGGGCGAGAGAGGAGGGUGGAAUUCCUGGUGUAGCGGUGAAAUGCGUAGAGAUCAGGAGGAACACCCGGGGCGAAGGCGGCCCUCUGGCUCGACCCUGACGCUGAGGCGCGAAAGCGUGGGGAGCGAACGGG